This 800-nucleotide ribosomal RNA is filed under the name Bacillus velezensis. RNAcentral's name for it is "bacterial SSU rRNA". It matches the Rfam family "Bacterial small subunit ribosomal RNA", at positions 42 to 823 of the family's 1533-position model. The record is from RNAcentral. Lineage: Bacteria; Bacillati; Bacillota; Bacilli; Caryophanales; Bacillaceae.
GGGUGCCCUAAUACAUGCAAGUCGAGCGGACAGAUGGGAGCUUGCUCCCUGAUGUUAGCGGCGGACGGGUGAGUAACACGUGGGUAACCUGCCUGUAAGACUGGGAUAACUCCGGGAAACCGGGGCUAAUACCGGAUGGUUGUCUGAACCGCAUGGUUCAGACAUAAAAGGUGGCUUCGGCUACCACUUACAGAUGGACCCGCGGCGCAUUAGCUAGUUGGUGAGGUAACGGCUCACCAAGGCGACGAUGCGUAGCCGACCUGAGAGGGUGAUCGGCCACACUGGGACUGAGACACGGCCCAGACUCCUACGGGAGGCAGCAGUAGGGAAUCUUCCGCAAUGGACGAAAGUCUGACGGAGCAACGCCGCGUGAGUGAUGAAGGUUUUCGGAUCGUAAAGCUCUGUUGUUAGGGAAGAACAAGUGCCGUUCAAAUAGGGCGGCACCUUGACGGUACCUAACCAGAAAGCCACGGCUAACUACGUGCCAGCAGCCGCGGUAAUACGUAGGUGGCAAGCGUUGUCCGGAAUUAUUGGGCGUAAAGGGCUCGCAGGCGGUUUCUUAAGUCUGAUGUGAAAGCCCCCGGCUCAACCGGGGAGGGUCAUUGGAAACUGGGGAACUUGAGUGCAGAAGAGGAGAGUGGAAUUCCACGUGUAGCGGUGAAAUGCGUAGAGAUGUGGAGGAACACCAGUGGCGAAGGCGACUCUCUGGUCUGUAACUGACGCUGAGGAGCGAAAGCGUGGGGAGCGAACAGGAUUAGAUACCCUGGUAGUCCACGCCGUAAACGAUGAGUGCUAAGUGU